Molecule: long non-coding RNA, 231 nt
Filed under: Elaeis guineensis (African oil palm)
Lineage: Eukaryota; Viridiplantae; Streptophyta; Magnoliopsida; Arecales; Arecaceae
Description: long non-coding RNA (EGUI_LNC040128)
Source: RNAcentral
GAUGAAGUCCGACUCCCAUGGGAGUCCGAACGGAGUUUACCUAUAAGUGAAGUCGUGAGCGGAGCUCGGCUCCCGUAGAAGUCCGGGCGAAGUCCUCCCGCAGUUGAGGUUGGGGACGAAGUUCGGCUCCCGUAGGAGUCCGGACGAAGUCUGCAAGCAAAGUCGUGGGCGGAGCCCGGCUCCCGUAGGAGUCCGGGCGAAGUCUGCAGGUGAAGUCGUGGGCGAGAUCCG